Molecule: ribosomal RNA, 202 nt
Filed under: uncultured microorganism
Description: partial 16S ribosomal RNA
Rfam family: Bacterial small subunit ribosomal RNA
Source: RNAcentral
GUGCACCAGGCGAGAAUCUUCCACAAUGGGGGAAACCCUGAUGGAGCGACGCCGCGUGCGGGAUGAAGGCCCUAUGGGUUGUAAACCGCUGUUCAGUGGAAAGAACAUCCUCCGGGCUGAAUAGGUCGGAGGCCUGACGUUACCACUGCAGAAAGUCCCGGCCAACUCCGUGCCCAGCAGCCCGCGGGUAAUACGGGGGGGG